AAAAAAAGAAGCAAAA
This 16-nucleotide small RNA is filed under the name Arabidopsis thaliana (thale cress). Its description in RNAcentral is "ATSL247570". Lineage: Eukaryota; Viridiplantae; Streptophyta; Magnoliopsida; Brassicales; Brassicaceae. The record is from RNAcentral.